Molecule: non-coding RNA, 73 nt
Organism: Chelonoidis abingdonii (Abingdon island giant tortoise)
Lineage: Eukaryota; Metazoa; Chordata; Testudines; Testudinidae
Source: the annotation of a RefSeq genome assembly
GUUUCUGUAGUGUAGUGGUUAUCACGUUUGUCUCACACGCGAAAGGUCCCCGGUUUGACCCCAGGUGGAAACA